This 253-nucleotide ribosomal RNA is filed under the name uncultured bacterium. RNAcentral's name for it is "partial 16S ribosomal RNA". It matches the Rfam family "Bacterial small subunit ribosomal RNA", at positions 524 to 776 of the family's 1533-position model. The record is from RNAcentral.
UACGUAGGGGGCAAGCGUUGUCCGGAAUCAUUGGGCGUAAAGAGCGUGUAGGCGGCCCGGUAAGUCCGCUGUGAAAGUCGAGGGCUCAACCCUCGAAUGCCGGCGGAUACUGUCGGGCUAGAGUCCGGAAGAGGCGAGUGGAAUUCCUGGUGUAGCGGUGAAAUGCGCAGAUAUCAGGAGGAACACCUACGGCGAAGGCAGCUCGUUGGGACGGUACUGACGCUGAGAAGCGAAAGCAUGGGGAGCGAACAGG